Long non-coding RNA from Prinia subflava (tawny-flanked prinia), 3452 nucleotides. RefSeq lists it as uncharacterized. The transcript has 3 exons. NCBI's taxonomy places the organism in Eukaryota, Metazoa, Chordata, Aves, Passeriformes, Cisticolidae. The record is from RefSeq and is a predicted model, not a curated record.
UUGAAGCCAUUUCACGAGUAGAAGCAGGAGGCAGUACAAAUUAAGUGAAGUCCUUUUUCAGGGGUAAAUGAUAGGAAGGAAUAAGGCCUGCCCCUGCUCAGCAGGACUUCUUUUGCUUUGGUCAGUGUCAGGCAUGACGUAGAUGAGAAGAAGUGGGGUUACCUCUCCGAAUUGAAGGCAUUUUCAAGGGCCUCCGAGAUUUUCAACUACUUUACCUUUGAGGCAGAGGAAAGAAGACGAUUUGGUCAAAGUCUUCAGGUGAAGGUUACUCUUGGAAAUCCAGCUCCAGCUGGCAACAGCCAAGGUGGCCCUGGUUGCCUGAUCUGCAGGUGAGGGAAAACUGGGCAAGAAUCCAUUCCAAACCUGGAACAAAUGACCUUACUGUAAUGAGCACAGUGGUGUGUCCUCUCUGAGGUUGGUUGGAAAGUGAUAAAAAGCACACAGGAGAAGGUGUAAAGCCGAAGAUUCCUGUGUGCUGACUGUGCAGGCAGAGAGGCAAGCACAGCAAAAGACAUUCAUUUGGUGGAGCUGCUAUGGGUUUGGGCAUGGAGUUAUUGCAAAGGUAUGAUUUACAUUUGGAAAAUAAGAAAUGCAUGUUCCUACGGCUUUCUCACUUGCACCUGUGCUGUGCUACCAAGGAAAGUAGCUUGGUACUCCUUUAACAGGCUUGUGAACCCUCCCCCAGCACUUAACAGCUCUCGUUUUUGAUGCUGCUGGGAACAGGACAGCAAAGAGGAAUCAGGGAGCUGUUUUGUGGGCCCGAUUCACUCCUGAUAUUUCUUGCUUGUUCAGUUGGCUAUUUAAAGCCCCAGCAUGCACUUGUAAUGCAGGUGAGAUGCAAGAUUAGAGGUGAGGAGCUGAGCUUUUCUGUGAUUUUGACUUUUCUGUGGCAAACUCACUCAACUUCUGUGAGUUUGACUUGUAGCCUGAUGUCAUCAGGAAGCUUUAUUCAGUUUGUUUGGUUUAAUCUGCCAACUACCCCCCCCCCCCCAAAAAAAAAAAAUGCCCUCAGACCCCCAAAUCUGCCUAGUGUUGCAAAAUCAGAGCUUGUUAUGAUACUGAAAGACUACAGAAAUAGAUGUGAACCUGUUAUGAGGGAAGGGUGAGGGAUGGAAUUUCGCUUAGGAGUGACUGAAUCUGUGAAAAAAAAAAAAAAAAGAGAAAAGAAAAGAAGAACGGCUUUGAGAAAAUGCAACCAAUAAUUAAUACAGGGAUUGGGCUUGCCUGAGGCUACCUGGAGGCCCGGUGCUUAGAAGAGAGAAAAGAGGAUUAGGUACUUCACUUGUAGGAACAGCGCCCAUCGGCUUCAGCAGAUAAGAUAAUCGCUCCGAGAGCCCUGUGCCUCCUGCCUGGCGUUGGCAGCGUGAGGGGAGAUACGGCCACACGCCCACACGGGAGCACAAUUAGCGAGGUGCUGCAGGCAGGGCUGCUUUCCUUGGAAAACAGAGCUGAUCCCUGCAGCUGGAGGCCAGAAACUGGGAGGCAUUCCUGUGCUUCCUGAGUACAAGCUGGCUUUUCAGCACGUUUACAGACACACUCCCACAGUGAGCUCAGCAGUGACAGGCAGCUACACACAGAAGCAACAGCCCCUGGCAUGGUGGAGAACGGUGCUUGUAAACCAGCAAUGAGGCCAUCCCCUGCUGUGGAGGACUGAGUCGUCUGAUCCACCAGGUUCCAUCUGCUUCAGGUUCUGGGCCUUGUAUUUUGUUCAAAUUGCUGUAAUUGUCAAGUCAGUUUCCAGGUUUGCGUCACUCCCAAGCAAACCUGGAAACCAUGAGUUUGCUCUCCUUCCUCCACGGGGUGUCAAAGUGACUUGGUCAGUGGUGUGUGAGCAAAGGCACAGUGCAUUGGCUGGUGUGUCCACUGGGUCACCCACAAGUUCAGACCUGCUUGUCCAUCUGGAAGGGGCUGCACAGGGUAGGCCUGUGUGACAAAACCAUGGGCAGCAGUGCAGAGCUUGGUGAGUUUACACCAGCUGGUGCAUGGCAGGAGGUCACCUGUGGGGACUGCCUCCACACCGAGAUGCAACCAAAGUCUCUAAUCUUUAGCCCUGAGAAGAAAUGCCUCCUCUUUAGGGCUGAUGCCACAUCUGAGGUCCAAUUAAGAUGUAAGGAGUAAAAGUCACAUCUCCAUGCCAGAGGUAACUAUCCAUAAGAAGAAAAAUAGAUUCUUUAUGGCUUGAGCUCAGGGACCCUCCAUGAUCUCUGUUGCCUGGGGCUCAAGGAAAAUGAAAGAGAAAGGAGCAGCUGUGCCAUCACUCCCACUGGAGCAGUUGUUUCAGCCAGACUUGUGAGGUGAUGGGAUUAGGAAUUUGCACCCCACCAGAAUCUUGCGUAUACUCUCCGAGGUUGGACCCCUGCUGAUCAGGGGAGGCAGGCAUGUGAACAGUGGGUCCUGGGGUCAUGGAAGGCUAGCACUUUGAGAGAUCUUUAUCUCAUAAUCUGUACCUUGAGUCUCAACAAGCUAGUCCUUGGUUUCUGUUCUGUUUGGUGACAUGAAUGUCUCCCUCCACCUCAUGAGGAGAAGUGUUCUGGACAUACAAUCCAUUUGCUGUCUCAAAGUACUCAGAAUCCUUUGGUGCUCUGUGGUUAUUUGAAUGUCUCUUCUGAUCAAGACAUUCUCCUAGUGGAACAAAGGGGAAGAAAACAUCAUCACUGUAGACUCCCUCAACCUAUAAACUAUAUCCUGGAGAGCCUGAUGCCUGUGACAAAACCUCAGACUUUAUCUUUUUGCUCUCACUGCCUCCUCUUGGUGCACCCUGUCCUGCUCCUGCAAGUCAGAAAUUAACUUUGGGUGGCCACCACCUCUUCUUAGUGUGAAUGCAAUCAAAAUGUGCUGCUCACUUUGAGGAACUAUCAAGUCUGCUGGGAUGGAGUCAAACCUAGACAAGGAGGAAUGGCCUUGGUGUCUUCUUCGACAACCAACCAUCUGAGACAAUCAAGAAGUGGUAAAUGAAGUAUCACUGCAUGGAAAUAGCCUGCUGUAAGAAAAACCCUGAACAAAAACGAUGUCUCUUGCAACAGUAGCUGCCACUGUGGCCUUUCCACUCCAUGCUGAUGGCCUCCUGGACUAGAUCUGCCUGCCACAUAGUGCUCCUGAUGGGCACAAGGCUCAGACUAGGAACUGCUGCUCUCAACAGAGCAUCACCUAGGAGGUGAUGAAGACCAACAAAGGCAACUUUAAUUUUUAUAGCACUGCUAAGCCCUUUCUUUUUUAGGGUUGGAUUUAGCUUGGAGCCCAUGGCUGCCUGAUGACGUGUGAAUGGGAUGUUGGUGAGGAGCUGACCUUACAGCUGAUGACAAGUUGUACUGGCACGGACUGGUGUAGCUGACUGAGGGCUGAAACCGCAUAGCAGAAAAACCAAGGUGAUGUGAAUCCUCUACAAACUCUGUAGGCAACAAUGCAAAUAGGAUCAGCAAAUCAUCAAUCAACUGCUCUCAUCAUCCCUUGCA